Molecule: ribosomal RNA, 468 nt
Filed under: uncultured bacterium
Lineage: Bacteria
Description: partial 16S ribosomal RNA
Rfam family: Bacterial small subunit ribosomal RNA
Source: RNAcentral
GACGAACGCUGGCGGCGUGCUUAACACAUGCAAGUCGAACGGAAAGGCCCUGCUUUUGUGGGGUGCUCGAUUGGCGAACGGGUGAGUAACACGUGAGUAACCUGCCCUUGACUUUGGGAUAACUUCAGGAAACUGGGGCUACUACCGUAUAGGAGCUCCUGCUCCAUGGUGGGGGUUGGAAAGUUUCGGCGGUUGGGGAUGGACUCGCGGCUUAUCAGCUUGUUGGUGGGGUAGUGGCUUACCAAGGCUUUGACGGGUAGCCGGCCUGAGAGGGUGACCGGCCACAUUGGGACUGAGAUACGGCCCAGACUCCUACGGGAGGCAGCAGUGGGGAAUAUUGCACAAUGGGCGGAAGCCUGAUGCAGCAACGCCGCGUGCGGGAUGACGGCCUUCGGGUUGUAAACCGCUUUCGCCUGUGACGAAGCGUGAGUGACGGUAAUGGGUAAAGAAGCACCGGCUAACUACGUG